This 253-nucleotide ribosomal RNA is filed under the name uncultured bacterium. RNAcentral's name for it is "partial 16S ribosomal RNA". It matches the Rfam family "Bacterial small subunit ribosomal RNA", at positions 524 to 776 of the family's 1533-position model. The record is from RNAcentral.
UACGUAGGGGGCAAGCGUUGUCCGGAAUCAUUGGGCGUAAAGCGCGUGUAGGCGGCUUCGUAAGUCCGUUGUGAAAGUCCAGGGCUCAACCCUGGAAUGCCGAUGGAUACUGUGGAGCUAGAGUCCGGAAGAGGCGAGUGGAAUUCCUGGUGUAGCGGUGAAAUGCGCAGAUAUCAGGAGGAACACCAAUGGCGAAGGCAGCUCGCCGGGACGGUACUGACGCUGAGACGCGAAAGCGUGGGGAGCAAACAGG